CGACUAAGCCAUGCGAGUCAAGGGGCUCCUUCGGGAGCACCGGCGGACGGCUCAGUAACACGUGGGCAACCUACCCUCGGGUGGGGGAUAACCUCGGGAAACUGAGGCUAAUACCCCAUAGGCCUCGGGUACUGGAAGGUCCUGAGGCCGAAAGCUCCGGCGCCCGAGGAUGGGCCUGCGGCCUAUCAGGUAGUUGGUGGUGUAAAGGACCACCAAGCCUGCGACGGGUACGGGCCCUGAGAGGGGGAGCCCGGAGAUGGACUCUGAGACACGAGUCCAGGCCCUACGGGGCGCAGCAGGCGCGAAACCUUCGCAAUGCGCGAAAGCGCGACGAGGGGAGCCCGAGUGCCCUUCCUUCGGGGAGGGCUUUUCCGGAGUCUAAAAAGCUCCGGGAAUAAGGGCUGGGCAAGACGGGUGCCAGCCGCCGCGGUAAUACCCGCAGCUCGAGUGGUGGCCACUAUUAUUGAGCCUAAAGCGUCCGUAGCCGGACCCGUAAAUCCCUGGGUAAAUCCUGGCGCUCAACGUCAGGAAUUCCGGGGAGACUGCGGGUCUUGGGACCGGGAGAGGCCGGAGGUACUCCCGGGGUAGGGGUAAAAUCCUGUAAUCCCGGGGGGACCACCUGUGGCGAAAGCGUCCGGCUUGAACGGCUCCGACGGUGAGGGACGAAGGCCAGGGGAGCAAACCGGAUUAGAUACCCGGGUAGUCCUGGCUGUAAACGCUGCCCGCUUGGUGUUGUCGGUCUCUCGGGGGCCGGCAGUGCCGGAGCGAAGGUGUUAAGCGGGCCGCUUGGGGAGUACGGCCGCAAGGCUGAAACUUAAAGGAAUUGGCGGGAGAGCACUGCAACGGGAGGAGCGUGCGGUUUAAUUGGAGUCAACGCCGGG
RNAcentral lists this ribosomal RNA (881 nucleotides) under uncultured archaeon. Its description in RNAcentral is "bacterial SSU rRNA". It matches the Rfam family "Archaeal small subunit ribosomal RNA", at positions 41 to 922 of the family's 1478-position model. The record is from RNAcentral.